Molecule: ribosomal RNA, 660 nt
Filed under: uncultured Bacteroidales bacterium
Lineage: Bacteria; Pseudomonadati; Bacteroidota; Bacteroidia; Bacteroidales
Description: bacterial SSU rRNA
Rfam family: Bacterial small subunit ribosomal RNA
Source: RNAcentral
AACACAUGCAAGUCGAGGGGCAGCAUUUCAGUUAGCUUGCUAACUGAAGAUGGCGACCGGCGCACGGGUGAGUAACACGUAUCCAACCUACCAAUGACUCAGGGAUAGCCUUUCGAAAGAAAGAUUAAUACCUGAUGGUAUGACAAUGCCACAUGGCGCUGUCAUUAAAGAAUUUCGGUGAUUGAUGGGGAUGCGUUCCAUUAGGCAGUAGGCGGGGUAACGGCCCACCUAACCGACGAUGGAUAGGGGUUCUGAGAGGAAGGUCCCCCACAUUGGAACUGAGACACGGUCCAAACUCCUACGGGAGGCAGCAGUGAGGAAUAUUGGUCAAUGGGCGAGAGCCUGAACCAGCCAAGUAGCGUGAAGGAUGACUGCCCUAUGGGUUGUAAACUUCUUUUAUAUGGGAAUAAAGUGAGUCACGUGUGGCUUUUUGUAUGUACCAUUAUGAAUAAGCAUCGGCUAACUCCGUGCCAGCAGCCGCGGUAAUACGGAGGAUGCGAGCGUUAUCCGGAUUUAUUGGGUUUAAAGGGAGCGUAGGCGGGCGAUUAAGUCAGUUGUGAAAGUUUGCGGCUCAACCGUAAAAUUGCAGUUGAUACUGGUCGUCUUGAGUACGGUAAAAGUGGGCGGAAUUCGUGGUGUAGCGGUGAAAUGCUUAGAUAU